CAGGCCAAGACACAGAAAUAUACUGUAUGCCAAAAUGUAAAGGUGACAUGAGUGAUCAAAAGAGAGGGAAAGUGAAAGGUCAAGGGAGAAACUCUCAGCAUGUAGGUACGGAACCAUUUCCAUGAGGUCAGCUACAUUCCAAAGCGGCUGCGGCACUGGAUGGGGAGCUGUCGGGGCAUGAUGCACAGCCCAAGACAGUCUUUGAAGGUGAGGAAUCUGAGGCACACAGAGACGAAAAACUGUCCAGGCAGUUGAGUCAGAAUUCAAAUGUUGGCUGUCUUCGUCUGGAACCCACACUUUCUACCUUCCUCUUGUGUUAUGGCUGGAUGUAUGACCUUGUCAUGUACGUAAAACAUCCGCAGACUAACUGGAAAAGGACUUUACCUCAGCCAAAGUGAGUGCAUUGCAGAAUAAGUGCAGAGAGCUUACCUUGGUUUUUAAAGAUAUUCCAAUCCGUUUUAAUUGGGGAUCUCAUUGCAAUGUGCUCCUAUGUCUUGA
Macaca mulatta (Rhesus monkey) is the source of this 498-nucleotide non-coding RNA. The record is from RefSeq and is a predicted model, not a curated record. NCBI's taxonomy places the organism in Eukaryota, Metazoa, Chordata, Mammalia, Primates, Cercopithecidae.